RNAcentral lists this small nuclear RNA (147 nucleotides) under Fukomys damarensis (Damara mole-rat). RNAcentral's name for it is "7SK RNA". It matches the Rfam family "7SK RNA", at positions 1 to 184 of the family's 331-position model. Rfam says of the family: 7SK was discovered as an abundant small nuclear RNA in the mid-70s but a possible function has only recently been suggested. Lineage: Eukaryota; Metazoa; Chordata; Mammalia; Rodentia; Bathyergidae. The record is from Rfam by way of RNAcentral.
GGGCAGUCCGGCUGCGACACCUGUCACCCCAUUGACCAACAGGGUUGACUCAGCUGACCUGGCUGGUGAGGCGGGGUCCCUGUCACCCCUCCUGAAGCUGUGUGCUCGGUGGAAGAGGACGACCAUCCCCACAGAACACACUACAGA